UACGGGGGGGGCAAGCGUUGUUCGGAUUUACUGGGCGUAAAGGGCGCGUAGGCGGCGCAACAAGUCACUUGUGAAAUCUCCGGGCUUAACCCGGAGCGGCCAAGUGAUACUGUCGUGCUAGAGUGCGGAAGGGGCUACUGGAAUUCUCGGUGUAGCGGUGAAAUGCGCAGAUAUCAGGAGGAACACCAAUGGCGAAGGCAGCACUCUGGGACGUGACUGACGCUGAGGCGCGAAAGCGUGGGGAGCAAACAGG
Molecule: ribosomal RNA, 253 nt
Filed under: uncultured bacterium
Lineage: Bacteria
Description: partial 16S ribosomal RNA
Rfam family: Bacterial small subunit ribosomal RNA
Source: RNAcentral